AUAUUAAGUUCUACUGUCAUAUAUAGUGUUGACAAACAUUGAUACAGAUUUCCUGUGAAGUGCAGAAGCACCGUCGUAGAAGCAGAGAAGCAGAGAUGCAGAGGCAGCGCUGGUGACUCACACAUGGAGAGCUGGAGUUCUUGGUCUAGUGGGAUAAACUGACCUGGAUAUCAUUUCAGUGCAGCGGAGUGUUCUGGGCCAUUUGUAAUUCACUGAAUCUGCUUUGUCAGAGCAAGUCUAUCAUCUCUUUUGGAUGGAGUGUGGCCAGCCCUGCCUUGUGAUGUAAGGAAAUCAGGAAACGCUUGUCAGGUGACAACACCGUGCCACACACUCUUCUAGGGGUUUCCACGUAAAUCACUGUAUUCAUUUCUGUUGCUGCUUUACCACAUUUCCACGUAUUUCAUGGCUUAAAAGAAUUGAAAUUGUAUCAUCUCACAGUUCUGUGGGGCAGAAGUCUGACGUGGGUGUCACUGGGCAAAAAUCACCAUGUGGUCUGGGCUGCAUUCCUCAUUGGAGAAUUGUUUCCAAGUGCUUUUGUCCAAAUAUAGUUCCUUGUGGUUGCAGGACUGAGGUGUCUGUUCCCUUGCUGGCCAUCUGUUGGGGGCUGCCCUCAGUUCCUGAGGCCUCCAUCUAGUCUUUGCACGUGGUCCCAUCAGCUCAGGACUAGCUGGGCCAGGGACCUGGUCAGGCUCUCCAGUUCCCCUGUGUGCAUUUCUCUUCUUCCACUCGGAGAAAGUUCUAUGCCCUAUUUUAAAA
Piliocolobus tephrosceles (Ugandan red Colobus) is the source of this 756-nucleotide long non-coding RNA. RefSeq lists it as uncharacterized. The transcript has 2 exons. Lineage: Eukaryota; Metazoa; Chordata; Mammalia; Primates; Cercopithecidae. The record is from RefSeq and is a predicted model, not a curated record.